GAUGAACGCUGGCGGCGUGCUUAAUACAUGCAAGUCGAACGGACAGGCCCUGAUCUUGUGGGGUGCUCGUGUGGCGAACGGGUGAGUAAAACGUGUGUAACCUGCCCUUGUCUUUGGGAUAACUUUAGGAAACUGGGGCUAAUACCGGGUAGGAGCUCCUGCUCCAUGGUGGUGGUUGGAAAGUUUCGGCGGUUGGGGAUGGAUUCGCGGCUUAUCCGCUUGUUGGUGGGGUAGUGGCUUACCAAGGCUUUGACGGGUAGCCGGCCUGAGAGGUGUAACGGGCACAAUGGGACUGAGAGACGGCGCAGACUCCUACGGGAGGCAGCAGGGGGAAGUAUUGCACAAUGGGCGGAAGCCUGAUGCAGCAGUGCCGCGUGCGGAAUAACGUCCUACGGGUGAUAAACCGCUUUCGCCGGAGACGAAGCGUGAGUGACGGUAAUGAAUAAGGAAGCACCGGCUAACUACGUG
Molecule: ribosomal RNA, 468 nt
Filed under: uncultured bacterium
Lineage: Bacteria
Description: partial 16S ribosomal RNA
Rfam family: Bacterial small subunit ribosomal RNA
Source: RNAcentral